UACGGAGGGGGCCAGCGUUGUUCGGGAUUAUUGGGCGUAAAGGGCGCGUAGGCGGCUUGGUAAGUCCGUUGUGAAAUCCCUCGGCUCAACCGAGGAACUGCGACGGAUACUGCUUGGCUUGAGUCCCGGAGAGGGUAGCGGAAUUCCCAGUGUAGCGGUGAAAUGCGUAGAUAUUGGGAGGAACAUCGGUGGCGAAGGCGGCUACCUGGACGGGUACUGACGCUGAUGCGCGAAAGCUAGGGGAGCAAACAGG
Molecule: ribosomal RNA, 253 nt
Filed under: uncultured bacterium
Lineage: Bacteria
Description: partial 16S ribosomal RNA
Rfam family: Bacterial small subunit ribosomal RNA
Source: RNAcentral